Molecule: ribosomal RNA, 253 nt
Filed under: uncultured bacterium
Lineage: Bacteria
Description: partial 16S ribosomal RNA
Rfam family: Bacterial small subunit ribosomal RNA
Source: RNAcentral
UACAGAGGGCUCGAGCGUUAAUCGGAGUAACUGGGCUUAAAGGGUGCGUAGGCGGACGUGCAAGUGCUUUGUGAAAUCCCACGGCUCAACCGUGGAAUUGCUUGGCAUACUGCGCGUCUUGAGGUCGGUAGAGGUUGCCGGAACUCUAGGUGGAGCGGUGAAAUGCGUAGAUAUCUAGAGGAACGCCCAAGGUGAAGACAGGCAACUGGGCCGAUUCUGACGCUGAGGCACGAAAGCGUGGGGAGCGAACGGG